This 301-nucleotide ribosomal RNA is filed under the name uncultured bacterium. RNAcentral describes it as "partial 16S ribosomal RNA". It matches the Rfam family "Bacterial small subunit ribosomal RNA", at positions 509 to 807 of the family's 1533-position model. The record is from RNAcentral.
CAGCCGCCGCGGUAAUACGUAGGGUGCAAGCGUUAAUCGGAAUUACUGGGCGUAAAGCGUGCGCAGGCGGUUUGUUAAGACAGAUGUGAAAUCCCCGGGCUCAACCUGGGAACUGCAUUUGUGACUGGCAAGCUAGAGUGUGGCAGAGGGGGGUGGAAUUCCGCGUGUAGCAGUGAAAUGCGUAGAUAUGCGGAGGAACACCGAUGGCGAAGGCAGCCCCCUGGGCCAACACUGACGCUCAUGCUCGAAAGCGUGGGGAGCAAACAGGAUUAGAUACCCGCGUAGUCCCUGUCUCUUAUAC